UACGUAGGUGGCAAGCGUUGUCCGGAUUUAUUGGGCGUAAAGAGCUCGUAGGCGGCUUGUCGCGUCGUCCGUGAAAACUUGGGGCUUAACUCCAAGCGUGCGGGCGAUACGGGCAGACUUGAGUACUACAGGGGAGACUGGAAUUCCUGGUGUAGCGGUGAAAUGCGCAGAUAUCAGGAGGAACACCGGUGGUGUAAACGGCUUUCUGGACCAUAACUGACACUGAGGCACGAAAGCGUGGGUAGCAAACAGG
RNAcentral lists this ribosomal RNA (253 nucleotides) under uncultured bacterium. RNAcentral describes it as "partial 16S ribosomal RNA". It matches the Rfam family "Bacterial small subunit ribosomal RNA", at positions 524 to 776 of the family's 1533-position model. The record is from RNAcentral.